Long non-coding RNA from Strongylocentrotus purpuratus (purple sea urchin), 5561 nucleotides. RefSeq lists it as uncharacterized. The transcript has 2 exons. Lineage: Eukaryota; Metazoa; Echinodermata; Echinoidea; Camarodonta; Strongylocentrotidae. The record is from RefSeq and is a predicted model, not a curated record.
CGACAAAAUGUGACUAAUUAAGAUAUGAUUCUGUCAAUGAUUAUGAAAUUUGAUGAGUCUUGAUAUUAAAUGUUUUAUCAUUUUUUAUUGGUCUAAACAGUGAGAACCAGCACAGUCAACUACGAUACCAGCAGACACCGUUGAUCUACCAAGCCUCUCCAUACUACGUCACCCAGCCCACGUUUGCUACCGUCCCCGCCCACUCCCCGACCGCUACCCAGCCAUUCAUCGACUACACCUACGCCGCACACCAACAAUACAACCAGGCGGGAACCUUCGGUGACCAGUUCAGCUACGCCAGCACGCCCCACGGCUUCGUCACGCCUGCCUACAACCUAGCGGCAGUCCAAUCGGCCGGCUCGCUUCCCACCGCCGUCAACCAAGCAGCGCAGUUCUCGCAGUUCCAGGCAGCCCAGCCUACAGUCGCUGCAGAUCAUACAUGUUUGCAAUAACUAUGAUCCAAUGCCACCGCGAUCGCCUAUCUAGAUUCUUCUUUUUAUUUUUCGUUGGAAAGGGAAUUUCAUUUCUUAGAUUUUUGAUGGAAUCUCUUUCGACUGGAGGACAUUUGGUUCUGAAAGCAUCUUUCAAUUCUGUUUAUUAGCCACAUUCACAGGUAUUGUUCGUGAACUGCGGAGGGUUGCAGCGAGACGGCCAGGCUCUCCUUUCUUAUCGACUUGGUGAGUCGUGAGGAGUGUGACACAUGGAGAGCGAUACCUCUGCCGUUAAUCGCCUUUUUGUGUCGUCCAUCUUCAAAAAGAUGUAUAGAGGACACGUGAGAAAAGAAAGGAUGUACUGCCAUAUUGCACUGUUAUGCAACGUAUAGCAUUCACACAAUUUGUACAGAGAAAUUAUGAGAAGUAAACUUGUUGGAAAAAAAAAUGUUUGUGAUUUUGUCUACGUCCUAUGUCAGUGCACCUAAUGUAUUGUGUAUUCAUAUUAUACAGUCAAAAACUGUCUCAUAUUUGUAGCUAUUUAAGCAAAUGCCUUCAUUUUUGUUGUUGUCAUUGGUCGUUUUACAUGCGAAAAGCAAAUUCAAUUUGAUAUCGUUUUUUCUUUUGUUUGGAAACUGUUAACUACAAAGUCGGUAAACCUCGUUCGUACUCUACCAUAUCUGAAACGGGUUCCUUGUGCAUGGUUAUGCUUGUUGUAGUAAUGGCUUCACCUUGAAGGAGGUCUUAACUGACAUAGCACCAGUCACUUCUCUCAAAUAUAUCUUCUAAAGAAUUGCAUUUACUACCCACUAUCUUAUAUUCAACCCAAUUUAUCAAACCACGCCUAAUUUCUUGACAGAAAAUAUGGCUUCUUCAAUUUCAAAUUCUACCCUAUGGACAGAUCUGUGAGGUAAAGAAGAGAACAAAUUAUUCAUGUAGAAAAUCUAGCCAGCAUUUAGUAAUCAUUACAUUAUAUUAUGUACUUAUUGGUCACUUAUAUAUGUCACCUUGAAUACAUCUAUUUAUUUGCGUGACGAAUAUUAAUACUCCGUCCAGCUGAUGAUAAGUUGUAAUUAUAAAAAACAUGAAUUGAAAUGAAAUGUGCAAGCAUGCCAAAAUAGCGGCUGAUUUGGAGAUGAAAUUCGUGCUAAAUAUCUGCUUUCAGAAAAUGAAGAGAAAGGCAAAAUGCAAUGUGUAUUUUUUUUUUGUUCUUAGCAUAUAAUGCGAGACUCUAAAGUAUAUCUAUCCCCCACUUUUUUUCCUUUUCUUUUGUAGAUCAUAUAUCAACCAAGUUAGAUCCCCUUUCCCAUUUUAUUUUUGGUUUCAACAAUAAUCACCUUUUGCACCUAUUUUAAUUGGUAUCACAGCUAGAUACUAGCAGGAAACAUCUGGGGUUACUUUUAAUUUAGCCCCUCCUACCUGCUGCAUAUGCAUGAUUAUGCUCUUGAGUGACUAAUUUCUAUCUUAUGAGCCAAUAAAGCUACAAUUUUUGUUGAAGGAAAUCUUUUCUUUUCUUUUUAACCUUUACUUUAGCUCAUGUAUGAAAAACAUGCACUCAUUUUUAUUCAGAGAAAUAAAAACAAGAUUGUUAAGCCAGUGUUGGUUAAAAGCUAUACUGGGGCUAGUUCCUUUCACAAAUGAAAAUGAAACAACUUUACUGGCAAAAUUCAAUCAAAAUCUUCCCUUUUAUUGAAGUAAAAAAAAGAGAGGGAACCAAACAUGACAGUUUGUGGGGGGAGGGAGGGGGGGGGGGGGAGGAAGUGCCAUGUUGCGAUGUCAUGUGACUUCUUUUAUUGGAUAAUCCUCCCAAGUAGUUUCCAGAUUAAAGGAUUUAGGCCUUAAUCUCGGGUCCCCCCUUUACCCCGGAUCAAAGAGCGAGUGAUGGGUUAACGAUAGAAAUUGACAAAUUGUGCCCUCUUUUUUACAACUCCGGUUGUUGAAACUUGUCAUCACGGAUUUCGUCCAGCCCUUGUUUUUUUCUUCUUGUGAAAUCUUUGGGGUGGUGAAUUUGGUAGUUUGCUCAUAGUAUCCAAGAGUCUGGUUGGAUGGAGGUGUUGAUUACAUGUUUGACAUUACUGUGAGGGGGAGAAUGGUGGUAUGGGAACAAGAAUAACAAACAUGUUAGACCGUGUUGGCCUGAGUAUGGAAUGGAGAGGCCCUACCACCUCAUCCUUGUGCGAUCGACUGCCAACUUUGGUAGACUGGAACUUUUCCUUCACAUGAAAAUUCAAGAGUACCAAAAAAAUCUUUUGCAUCCCAGCGAUCUCUCUUCCUUCUUUUUCAUUUCAUAAAUAUUGCCUUUAUUUCUUUUAUAAAGAAAAGGGUUAUUAAUGUCCUUUGGAAAUAUUUGUGGGAAUUGUCAGUACUAAUGGUGGAGAAUAAUAAUGACAAUUUGGAAAAGUACUUAACAAAAUGUUUUCUUGCUUAGUUUAGGUUUACUACAAAUAAGAUUGCGGAUUGUAAAAUGACAGUUAUUUGAGGGUCAUUUAUAGCCUUUUCAAAGUUGAAUCGUUAUGAAGUCAGCCUAGAACUAUUUGCAGAAAUGCCAUCAACUUAAAUUGAUUGAUUAGGGGGCUCUAAGAAAACAAACACAAGUAAAAGCAUGUGCUCUUAACAGUAUUUUACCAAUCAGCAUCGAAUAUCUGCCCUUGGUGAUGAGAAUACUAUUUGCUGAAUGACCUAUUUCUUUUUCGAAAAAAUCAACCUGAACAUAAAUAAGUGUCUCUUCUAUGUUCUGUCCUGUAGUAAUGUCCUUUUUUUGUCCUCUGUACUUUGGUCGGUGCACUAUGAUUGUAUCUGUGCAUUUUAUGUAUAGCAGAGAGAAUCAGAGAAUAAGUUAUAUGAAUGUUUUAUGACAUGAAUCCAGAUUGUUAUAACAGAGAUUUACAUGUAGUACAUGUUUAUGUCCAAAAGGGUGAAAGAUUGUAAAUGCUGAGGACAAAAUUGUUUAGAAAACAAAUCACUUAUGAUAUGAAAAUUUCAGAUUCAGUGUACUAUUAUUAUUACUAUUAUGGAUAUCUAUUUGGUAUGAUUAAUUCUCAUUUUCAUAUUUAAUAUUCAAGCAUUAUGUCUAUCAAUAUUAUUAUUACAUGUUAAUAACUAUGAGUAGUGUAUAUAGAUAAGGUCGAUGGUUUUAUAUUAAACUAUGUAGAUAUUCAAAAUGCAAACUUAGAGUAGUUUUAGAGCAUAUCUAGCUGUAAUAGAUAUUGUACAAGUAAUAUAUAUGAAUGUAUUCUUGAUAUAAGUACUUGAAUAUACACCAUGGGGUUUUUCUUAUGGAACAUGCUUUAAGAAUGUAUAAUUUUGAAUUUUUCUGAGCAGUCUUUAAAACUAAAUUUCCUACAUAAUGUAUCAGAGAGCUAUUUGUUACAAUAUUCUUCAUACAAUUUGGCUGAUUUUGCCGACGUGAGGAAUAUUAUUCAGUCCUGUGCUGUACCCCAUGUAAGCUGAAAACAUUGUACAAAGGAUGAUACAACAAAAAUGUCACUAUCUAUUUGUUUUUCUUUCGGUCAUCAAAUCUUUUCAUAUAAAAAUGAAUUAAGGUAUAUCAAACCUGUUCUUUCAAAAAAGAGAAUGCUUGAUGCAUCUAAUCAUGAAAUACUUUUUUUGUAUUGUUUGGAUAAAAUGAAAACAAUUUUUUUACAGUGACUUAUGGUGUCUUGUAACUAUCUGCAUGCUUAAAGUAAAAGACUUCAAAUGGGCUUUGUCCUGUCUUAAAUCAAAAUGCUUUUAUACCAUCAAAGAGAGGGAAGGAAUAUUUGACAUCUGUAGCUGACGAUCUUUCAAACAUUUCUUUGUGUAACGAGGGACUUCCUUCUGUCUCUGUUCAUCGAAGGAUUCUAGUUUAACAUGUUGUAGGCCUAGCUAACUGUUCAUACUGUUUAGAAGAGUAGGAUAAGAAAAAAACAGAACUGUGCAUUAAUUGAUAAGCUGUCAAAUUGUUUUAUAUAUAUGUCGAGUAAAAUAUAACGAACAAAAUGUCUUGUAUAAAUAGUUAGCUUAACAAAGGAGGUUAAAGGGGUAGUUAGAUAUAGAUAUCAAUUGUUAAAUGUUAUGAUUCGUACUCGUUAUCAGAUAAUUACAAGAGCUUUGGCGUCGGACAAACUAGUGUCUUUCGAGGACAAAAUAGCAAUUAAUGUAAAUUGUAUUAAAGUACCAAGCAUAGGCCACUUUUAAUCUUAUUGAUUAAUUUUAUUAUAAGUAUGGAAAUUAAUUAUGUUUUUAUUUAAUCAUGUAAAGCUAUACCUAGUGCAUUUAUGUAAAAUAUAUUUUAGAGAAUACAACAGAAACUAAGAGGGUCUAAAAAAAAUUCUAAUAGACAUUCACUAACUUCGUAAAAUCAUUCUUUGAUUUUUGAGAGGACAGCAGCAAAACAAAAAACACUUUUCUGAUUUUUACAAGCAGUCAUAACCAACAAAAAUGUUGAUGAAAUGAUGAAAGCUAGCUGAUUAUGUAUUUAUCAAAAGCAAUAAAAAGACGUGAAACGAAAGUCGAAUAUCUGAUGGAAUAAAUAUGACAAUCUUUAUAAUUGCUUUCAUUUUCUUUGUACAGAAUAGUUCUCUCUUUUCUUUCAUUUUAUACCAAUAUAAUCAUUUUUUAUUUGUUCUUCUUUUUCUUUUUUAAAAUCCUUAGCCCACUUUGUCAUCUGUUUUUUGCGUAGUGUCGGUAAUGAACAAAAGAAAAGCAAAUAACCGCUGUACUGUACGUUACCAAGAUGGCCUAUGCAAUUCAACAUGUCUUCCAAUUAUACUACAUGUACUGUAAAUUAGCAUCGUAUUUAUAAUCGUAGCUCUCUUUUUUUUUCAUUGUUAAGACUUGAAGGGGCUGUUCUCAUUACCAGGUAUUCACGAUUCACUCCGUAUAACACACAUUCAAUGCAGUUUGGAGUAGUGUUAUUGGAGGAGUUACAGGUGAAAGUCUGGAUUGUGUCAACAUGCCCCAUGUAGGAGAAAGCUGUUUAAUAUGGAAGAAAGAAAAAAAAAGGCAAAACUAUUACCAUGUAUAUUCAGGGUAGGUUAUCUGUUAUGCCACCAUGUAUGUCAUAGCUUGGCAAGAAUAUAGUAAAUGUAAUAUUAAGAAAGAGAAGAAAAAAAUGACAUCGCCAAUAAAUUACAAGGAAUAAAUAUGGAA